UACGGAGGGUGCGAGCGUUAAUCGGAAUUACUGGGCGUAAAGGGUGCGUAGGUUGUUGAUUAAGUUAUCUGUGAAAUUCCUGGGCUUAACCUGGGCAGGUCAGAUGAUACUGAUUGACUGGAGUAUGGGAGAGGGUAGUGGAAUUUCCGGUGUAGCGGUGAAAUGCGUAGAGAUCGGAAGGAACACCAGUGGCGAAGGCGGCUACCUGGCCUAAUACUGACACUGAGGCACGAAAGCGUGGGGAGCAAACAGG
RNAcentral lists this ribosomal RNA (253 nucleotides) under uncultured bacterium. Its description in RNAcentral is "partial 16S ribosomal RNA". It matches the Rfam family "Bacterial small subunit ribosomal RNA", at positions 524 to 776 of the family's 1533-position model. The record is from RNAcentral.